Non-coding RNA from Echinostoma caproni, 82 nucleotides. Lineage: Eukaryota; Metazoa; Platyhelminthes; Trematoda; Plagiorchiida; Echinostomatidae. The record is from Rfam.
GGCUUCGUAGCUCAGCUGGUAGAGCAUGCGCGUACAAAGCUAAAUCGGCGUCCAUGCGUGGGUUCGAAUCCCACCGAGGCUA